GAUGAACGCUGGCGGCGUGCCUAAUACAUGCAAGUCGAGCGAACGGACGAGAAGCUUGCUUCUCUGAUGUUAGCGGCGGACGGGUGAGUAACACGUGGAUAACCUACCUAUAAGACUGGGAUAACUUCGGGAAACCGGAGCUAAUACCGGAUAAUAUUUUGAACCGCAUGGUUCAAAAGUGAAAGACGGUCUUGCUGCCACUUAUAGAUGGAUCCGCGCUGCAUUAGCUAGUUGGUAAGGUAACGGCUUACCAAGGCAACGAUGCAUAGCCGACCUGAGAGGGUGAUCGGCCACACUGGAACUGAGACACGGUCCAGACUCCUACGGGAGGCAGCAGUAGGGAAUCUUCCGCAAUGGGCGAAAGCCUGACGGAGCAACGCCGCGUGAGUGAUGAAGGUCUUCGGAUCGUAAAACUCUGUUAUUAGGGAAGAACAUAUGUGUAAGUAACUGUGCACAUCUUGACGGUACCUAAUCAGAAAGCCACGGCUAACUACGUGCCAGCAGCCGCGGUAAUACGUAGGUGGCAAGCGUUAUCCGGAAUUAUUGGGCGUAAAGCGCGCGUAGGCGGUUUUUUAAGUCUGAUGUGAAAGCCCACGGCUCAACCGUGGAGGGUCAUUGGAAACUGGAAAACUUGAGUGCAGAAGAGGAAAGUGGAAUUCCAUGUGUAGCGGUGAAAUGCGCAGAGAUAUGGAGGAACACCAGUGGCGAAGGCGACUUUCUGGUCUGUAACUGACGCUGAUGUGCGAAAGCGUGGGGAUCAAACAGGAUUAGAUACCCUGGUAGUCCACGCCGUAAACGAUGAGUGCUAAGUGUUAGGGGGUUUCCGCCCCUUAGUGCUGCAGCUAACGCAUUAAGCACUCCGCCUGGGGAGUACGACCGCAAGGUUGAAACUCAAAGGAAUUGACGGGGACCCGCACAAGCGGUGGAGCAUGUGGUUUAAUUCGAAGCAACGCGAAGAACCUUACCAAAUCUUGACAUCCUUUGACAACUCUAGAGAUAGAGCUUUCCCCUUCGGGGGACAAAGUGACAGGUGGUGCAUGGUUGUCGUCAGCUCGUGUCGUGAGAUGUUGGGUUAAGUCCCGCAACGAGCGCAACCCUUAAGCUUAGUUGCCAUCAUUAAGUUGGGCACUCUAAGUUGACUGCCGGUGACAAACCGGAGGAAGGUGGGGAUGACGUCAAAUCAUCAUGCCCCUUAUGAUUUGGGCUACACACGUGCUACAAUGGACAAUACAAAGGGCAGCGAAACCGCGAGGUCAAGCAAAUCCCAUAAAGUUGUUCUCAGUUCGGAUUGUAGUCUGCAACUCGACUACAUGAAGCUGGAAUCGCUAGUAAUCGUAGAUCAGCAUGCUACGGUGAAUACGUUCCCGGGUCU
This 1372-nucleotide ribosomal RNA is filed under the name uncultured bacterium. Its description in RNAcentral is "bacterial SSU rRNA". It matches the Rfam family "Bacterial small subunit ribosomal RNA", at positions 28 to 1381 of the family's 1533-position model. The record is from RNAcentral.